AGAAUCAACGCUGGCGGCGUGCCUAACACAUGCAAGUCGAACGAGAAAGUGGAGCAAUCCAUGAGUAAAGUGGCGACCGGGUGAGUAACACGUGACUAACCUACCUUCAAGUGGGGGAUAACCUCGGGAAACCGGGGCUAAUACCGCAUAACAUCUUUGGAGUGGAAAUUCUGGAGAUCAAAGGAGCAAUUCGCUGGAAGAGGGGGUCGCGGCUGAUUAGCUAGUUGGCGGGGUAAUGGCCCACCAAGGCUUUGAUCGGUAGCCGGCCUGAGAGGGCGCACGGCCACACUGGAACUGAAACACGGUCCAGACUCCUACGGGAGGCAGCAGUGGGGAAUUUUGCGCAAUGGGGGAAACCCUGACGCAGCAACGCCGCGUGGAGGAUGAAGUCCCUUGGGACGUAAACUCCUUUCGACCGGGAAGAUGAUGACGGUACCGGUGGAAGAAGCCCCGGCUAACUUCGUGCCAGCAGCCGC
This 476-nucleotide ribosomal RNA is filed under the name uncultured bacterium. RNAcentral describes it as "SSU rRNA". It matches the Rfam family "Bacterial small subunit ribosomal RNA", at positions 26 to 518 of the family's 1533-position model. The record is from RNAcentral.